This 484-nucleotide ribosomal RNA is filed under the name uncultured bacterium. RNAcentral's name for it is "partial 16S ribosomal RNA". It matches the Rfam family "Bacterial small subunit ribosomal RNA", at positions 28 to 507 of the family's 1533-position model. The record is from RNAcentral.
AUUGAACGCUGGCGGCAUGCUUUACACAUGCAAGUCGAACGGCAGCGCGGGCUUCGGCCUGGCGGCGAGUGGCGAACGGGUGAGUAAUGCAUCGGAACGUGCCCAGUAGUGGGGGAUAGCCCGGCGAAAGCCGGAUUAAUACCGCAUACGACCUGAGGGUGAAAGCGGGGGACCGAAAGGCCUCGCGCUAUUGGAGCGGCCGAUGUCGGAUUAGCUAGUUGGUGGGGUAAAGGCUUACCAAGGCGACGAUCCGUAGCUGGUCUGAGAGGACGACCAGCCACACUGGGACUGAGACACGGCCCAGACUCCUACGGGAGGCAGCAGUGGGGAAUGUUGGACAAUGGGGGCAACCCUGAUCCAGCCAUGCCGCGUGCGGGAAGAAGGCCUUCGGGUUGUAAAACGCUUUUGUUCGGGAAGAAAUCCUCUGGGCUAAUACCCCGGGGGGAUGACGGUACCGGAAGAAUAAGCGCCGGCUAACUACGUG